RNAcentral lists this ribosomal RNA (253 nucleotides) under uncultured bacterium. Its description in RNAcentral is "partial 16S ribosomal RNA". It matches the Rfam family "Bacterial small subunit ribosomal RNA", at positions 524 to 776 of the family's 1533-position model. The record is from RNAcentral.
UACGAGGGGGGCGAGCGUUGUUCGGAAUUAUUGGGCGUAAAGGGUGCGUAGGCGGUUCCGCAAGUCCUGUGUGAAAUCUUCGGGCUCAACUCGAAGUCUGCACGGGAAACUGCGGGGCUUGAGUGUGGGAGAGGUGAGUGGAACUGCGAGUGUAGAGGUGAAAUUCGUAGAUAUUCGCAAGAACACCAGUGGCGAAGGCGGCUCACUGGCCCGAUACUGACGCUGAGGUGCGAAAGCGUGGGGAGCAAACAGG